UGGGGAAUUUUGGACAAUGGGCGAAAGCCUGAUCCAGCAAUGCCGCGUGAGUGAAGAAGGCCUUCGGGUUGUAAAGCUCUUUUAGUCGGAAAGAAAGAGUUGCAAUGAAUAAUUGUGAUUUAUGACGGUACCGACAGAAAAAGCACCGGCUAACUACGUGCCAGCAGCCGCGGUAAUACGUAGGGUGCGAGCGUUAAUCGGAAUUACUGGGCGUAAAGGGUGCGCAGGCGGUCUUGCAAGCCAGAUGUGAAAGCCCCGGGCUUAACCUGGGAAUUGCGUUUGAAACUGCAAGGCUAGAGUGCAGCAGAGGGGAGUGGAAUUCCAUGUGUAGCAGUGAAAUGCGUAGAGAUGUGGAAGAACACCGAUGGCGAAGGCAGCUCCCUGGGUUGACACUGACGCUCAUGCACGAAAGCGUGGGGAGCAAACA
This 427-nucleotide ribosomal RNA is filed under the name uncultured beta proteobacterium. RNAcentral's name for it is "bacterial SSU rRNA". It matches the Rfam family "Bacterial small subunit ribosomal RNA", at positions 355 to 774 of the family's 1533-position model. Lineage: Bacteria; Pseudomonadati; Pseudomonadota; Betaproteobacteria. The record is from RNAcentral.